AUUGAACGCUGGCGGAAUGCUUUACACAUGCAAGUCGAGCGGCAGCGCGGGGCAACCUGGCGGCGAGCGGCGAACGGGUGAGUAAUGUAUCGGAACGUGUCCUGUCGUGGGGGAUAGCCCGGUGAAAACCGGAUUAAUACCGCAUACGAUCGAGAGAUGAAAGUGGGGGACCGCAAGGCCUCACGCGAUAGGAGCGGCCGAUAUCUGAUUAGCUAGUUGGUGGGGUAAAGGCCCACCAAGGCUUCGAUCAGUAGCUGGUCUGAGAGGAUGAUCAGCCACACUGGGACUGAGACACGGCCCAGACUCCUACGGGAGGCAGCAGUGGGGAAUUUUGGACAAUGGGGGCAACCCUGAUCCAGCCAUUCCGCGUGAGUGAAGAAGGCCUUCGGGUUGUAAAGCUCUUUUGUCCGGGAAGAAACGGGUUUGGCUAAUAACCAAGACUACUGACGGUACCGGUAGAAUAAGGACCGGCUAACUACGCGCCAGCCGCCGCUGUAA
Molecule: ribosomal RNA, 498 nt
Filed under: uncultured bacterium
Lineage: Bacteria
Description: partial 16S ribosomal RNA
Rfam family: Bacterial small subunit ribosomal RNA
Source: RNAcentral